AAGCCUGCCUUUGCCAUAAUGCCUGACAUUUGCUUCUGCUUAGCCAAACUUUUUUGUUAUGUAUGUUUUACAGCAGUGUCCUGAUGCUGUUGCAAUUUGGAUGGCCACAGUGGAGCCACCUUCAUGUCGUCUGACCCAAAGGUACGUUUGGAUCGGGAGUUCCUGAGGAAGAUUAUCUUCUGGUAUGUCUGUGCAUUGUCAGUACCACGGAGAUCCAACCUUCAGCUGAGCCCCCAGUGGCAGAGAGGAUCCAGUUCAUUAAAGACUAAAAAUCAAAGCAGCACGGAUGUAUUCAUGCUAACUAGGAAUGGGAGAAAAGUAUAACUGUAAACACUGCUCAAACACUUUGCUAAUAUUAUCUUGUCUAAUGACGGAAAUCCCAGAUCCCUAGCAAAACUAAGCAUUUCUGCUGCUAUAGCAGAGUGCAGGUAGCACACCCUCCUGAUUGCUGCAGAUUAAAAAUAGCUGAGAAAGAUUGAUGCAUGCUAUUUCUUUGUUCAUAUAUAGCUGAAUGAAACCAUGUAAGUAGAACCCACUUACUUUUCAGUAUUAGGGAAUAAGCCUUUUUAAAUAUGAUUCCUGGAACAAAAAGCAUCUGCAAAGAAUAAUCUCUUUAGAUCCUUGAAAAAAGUCAGCAUUUUAUGAAAGUAUAUUGUCUACUGACGUUUAUGCAUUUCUCUGCUUUUGCAAAUCCUUUCUGCAUUUCUUAGAUACUGAUGCCAACACCGAACUUUGCCAGUCUGAAGAGUGGAAUUUGUUCUUUUUUUGGCAUUUCUAUAGUGUUCUUCAAACUGAGAUCUGCUCACCUUCCUGGUUAAAGCUUGUAACUUCUCCGUGAAGUAGGAGAGAAUUAUCUCAGUUAUUCUAGGAGGAAAUCUACAUUUCAGAGUUUGACUUAUUUUAGGUUACCCAAUGUGGCAGAAGCAGGUGUAGAAGCAGAUUCAGACCACUUGAUGCCCAGCCCUGUGAACUUACCUGGAUAUAGGGAAGGACAUCGAAAGUUGAUUUUGGAGAGCUUCUGCCUCCAAUUGUAGCAGGAGAGGAAGAAGACGUAUUGGCUUCUCUUGCAGUAUUCUGUUUUCUUUUAAUUUAAAUCAUAACAGAAUUCACAUUCUACAGGAAUAUAGCAAGAGAUUAGACAUGUCUUAUUUAUACACUGUUUAUUACAAUAAAUUCUUUUUAAAUUCUUGCUAAGACUUGUCU
Molecule: long non-coding RNA, 1203 nt
Organism: Struthio camelus australis
Lineage: Eukaryota; Metazoa; Chordata; Aves; Struthioniformes; Struthionidae
Source: Ensembl